Molecule: ribosomal RNA, 1343 nt
Filed under: uncultured bacterium
Lineage: Bacteria
Description: 16S ribosomal RNA
Rfam family: Bacterial small subunit ribosomal RNA
Source: RNAcentral
GACGAACGCUGGCGGCGUGCUUAACACAUGCAAGUCGAACGGAAAGGCCCUGCUUUUGUGGGGUGCUCGAGUGGCGAACGGGUGAGUAACACGUGAGUAACCUGCCCUUGACUUUGGGAUAACUUCAGGAAACUGGGGCUAAUACCGGAUAGGAGCUCCUGCUGCAUGGUGGGGGUUGGAAAGCUUCGGCGGUUGGGGAUGGACUCGCGGCUUAUCAGCUUGUUGGUGGGGUAGUGGCUUACCAAGGCUUUGACGGGUAGCCGGCCUGAGAGGGUGACCGGCCACAUUGGGACUGAGAUACGGCCCAGACUCCUACGGGAGGCAGCAGUGGGGAAUAUUGCACAAUGGGCGGAAGCCUGAUGCAGCAACGCCGCGUGCGGGAUGACGGCCUUCGGGUUGUAAACCGCUUUCGCCUGUGACGAAGCGUGAGUGACGGUAAUGGGUAAAGAAGCACCGGCUAACUACGUGCCAGCAGCCGCGGUGAUACGUAGGGUGCGAGCGUUGUCCGGAUUUAUUGGGCGUAAAGGGCUCGUAGGUGGUUGAUCGCGUCGGAAGUGUAAUCUUGGGGCUUAACCCUGAGCGUGCUUUCGAUACGGGUUGACUUGAGGAAGGUAGGGGAGAAUGGAAUUCCUGGUGGAGCGGUGGAAUGCGCAGAUAUCAGGAGGAACACCAGUGGCGAAGGCGGUUCUCUGGGCCUUUCCUGACGCUGAGGAGCGAAAGCGUGGGGAGCGAACAGGCUUAGAUACCCUGGUAGUCCACGCUGUAAACGGUGGGUACUAGGUGUGGGGUCCAUUCCACGGGUUCCGUGCCGUAGCUAACGCUUUAAGUACCCCGCCUGGGGAGUACGGCCGCAAGGCUAAAACUCAAAGGAAUUGACGGGGCCCCGCACAAGCGGCGGAGCAUGCGGAUUAAUUCGAUGCAACGCGUAGAACCUUACCUGGGUUUGACAUGGAUCGGGAGUGCUCAGAGAUGGGUGUGCCUCUUUUGGGGUCGGUUCACAGGUGGUGCAUGGCUGUCGUCAGCUCGUGUCGUGAGAUGUUGGGUUAAGUCCCGCAACGAGCGCAACCCUUGUUCACUGUUGCCAGCACGUUAUGGUGGGGACUCAGUGGAGACCGCCGGGGUCAACUCGGAGGAAGGUGGGGAUGACGUCAAGUCAUCAUGCCCCUUAUGUCCAGGGCUUCACGCAUGCUACAAUGGCUGGUACAGAGAGUGGCGAGCCUGUGAGGGUGAGCGAAUCUCGGAAAGCCGGUCUCAGUUCGGAUUGGGGUCUGCAACUCGACCUCACGAAGUCGGAGUCGCUAGUAAUCGCAGAUCAGCAACGCUGCGGUGAAUACGUUCCCGGG